CACGGAGUUAGCCGAUCCUUAUUCCUUCGGUACAUUCAGCUAUCUACACGUAGAUAGGUUUAUUCCCGAAUAAAAAGCAGUUUACGACCCAGAGGGCUGUCUUCCUGCACGCGGCAUGGCUGGUUCAGAGUUCCCUCCAUUGACCAAUAUUCCUUACUGCUGCCUCCCGUAGGAGUCUGGUCCGUGUCUCAGUACCAGUGUGGGGGGUCAUCCUCUCAGAUCCCCUAGUCAUCGUCGCCUUGGUGGGCCGUUACCCCGCCAACUAGCUAAUGACACGCAUGCCCAUCUUAAUCCUAUAAAUAUUUGAACAUUGGAUAAUGCUAUCCUGUGUUUUAUGCGGUGUUAAUCCGAAUUUCUUCGGGCUAUCCCCCUGAUUAAGGUAGGUUGCAUACGCGUUACGCACCCGUGCGCCACUUUCAUGAAGAGCAAGCUCCUACAAUAUCGUUCGACUUGCAUGUAUUAGGCCUGCCGCUCGCGUUCACUUCCUGGACGCCGAGGACUAA
Molecule: ribosomal RNA, 503 nt
Filed under: uncultured Pedobacter sp.
Lineage: Bacteria; Pseudomonadati; Bacteroidota; Sphingobacteriia; Sphingobacteriales; Sphingobacteriaceae
Description: partial 16S ribosomal RNA
Source: RNAcentral